Molecule: non-coding RNA, 462 nt
Organism: Sorex araneus (European shrew)
Lineage: Eukaryota; Metazoa; Chordata; Mammalia; Eulipotyphla; Soricidae
Source: the annotation of a RefSeq genome assembly
AUGGCGUGUGGGCUGAGCUGGCUUCUCCUGGUGGCUGUGUUAGGAGGGGUCCAGUGUGAGGUGCAGCUGGUGGAGUCUGGGGGAAACUUGGUGCAGCCUGGGGGAUCCCUGACACUCUCCUGUGCAGCCUCUGGAUUCAAUUUUGGCAGCUAUGGGAUGAACUGGAUCUGCCAGGCUCCAGGGAAGGGCCUAGAGUGGGUCUCACGCAUAAGUAGUAAUGGUGAUAUUACAUACUACGCCAACUCUGUGAAGGGCCGAUUCAGCAUCUCCAGAGACAACAGCAAGAACGAGCUCUCUCUGCAAAUGAGCAGCCUGAGGGAGGAGGACUCGGCCCUGUACUACUGUGCGAGAUACAUAGUGACGAGAAGGCCCUACGGGCCCAAACACAAACCACCUGCAGGAGGAAGCAGGGUGAGCUUCAGGGCUGCAGGCCCCCAGGAGGCUCUGAGGACUCGCCCCUGA